This 255-nucleotide ribosomal RNA is filed under the name uncultured bacterium. Its description in RNAcentral is "partial 16S ribosomal RNA". It matches the Rfam family "Bacterial small subunit ribosomal RNA", at positions 524 to 776 of the family's 1533-position model. The record is from RNAcentral.
UACAGAGGGUGCGAGCGUUGUUCGGAAUUACUGGGCGUAAAGCGCGCGCAGGCGGCCUUUUAAGUCUACCCGUGAAAUGCCGGAGCUCAACUCCGUGCACGCCGGGGGAUACUGGGAGGCUGGAGACAGGUAGAGGCAAGCGGAAUUCCAGGUGUAGCGGUGAAAUGCGUAGAUAUCUGGAGGAACACCGGUGGCGAAGGCGGCAUCCUGGACCAAUACUGACGCUGAGGAGCGAAAGCCAGGGGAGCAAACGGG